Long non-coding RNA from Bradysia coprophila, 170 nucleotides. NCBI's taxonomy places the organism in Eukaryota, Metazoa, Arthropoda, Insecta, Diptera, Sciaridae. The record is from RefSeq and is a predicted model, not a curated record.
ACAGAAAAAAAAUUGGGGGGAACGGGCCUCGUUUGGGAGCUAGGCCUCCUCGAAGUUCCCAUAUAAGCCCCAUAUAAGAACACCUUUAAGUGGGUGUGUGUGGAUUUCUAUGGUAGAACAAAUUUUUAGAGUGGAAACGUGUCGAAAAAACUUUCAAAUUUGGACCCUUG